CUCCAGGAAGCAGCUCCCCUGUCCUCCCAUGCUGUGUGGAGCGUUGCCAUGGUAACGCGCGGCAACGCUCCACACAGCAUCGCGCGGGAGGACAGGGGAGCUGCUUCCUGGAG
Molecule: microRNA precursor, 113 nt
Filed under: Pelobates cultripes (western spadefoot toad)
Lineage: Eukaryota; Metazoa; Chordata; Amphibia; Anura; Pelobatidae
Source: RNAcentral